GAUGAACGCUGGCGGCGUGCCUAAUACAUGCGAGUCGAGCGAACAGACGAGGAGCUUGCUCCUCUGACGUUAGCGGCGGACGGGUGAGUAACACGUGGAUAACCUACCUAUAAGACUGGGAUAACUUCGGGAAACCGGAGCUAAUACCGGAUAAUAUAUUGAACCGCAUGGUUCAAUAGUGAAAGACGGUUUUGCUGUCACUUAUAGAUGGAUCCGCGCCGCAUUAGCUAGUUGGUAAGGUAACGGCUUACCAAGGCAACGAUGCGUAGCCGACCUGAGAGGGUGAUCGGCCACAUUGGAACUGAGACACGGUCCAGACUCCUACGGGAGGCAGCAGUAGGGAAUCUUCCGCAAUGGGCGAAAGCUUGACGGAGCAACGCCGCGUGAGUGAUGAAGGUCUUCGGAUCGUAAAACUCUGUUAUUAGGGAAGAACAAAUGUGUAAGUAACUAUGCACGUCUUGACGGUACCUAAUCAGAAAGCCACGGCUAACUACGUG
This 497-nucleotide ribosomal RNA is filed under the name uncultured bacterium. Its description in RNAcentral is "partial 16S ribosomal RNA". It matches the Rfam family "Bacterial small subunit ribosomal RNA", at positions 28 to 507 of the family's 1533-position model. The record is from RNAcentral.